This 201-nucleotide long non-coding RNA is filed under the name Daucus carota (carrot). Its description in RNAcentral is "long non-coding RNA (DCAR_LNC004886)". The record is from RNAcentral. Lineage: Eukaryota; Viridiplantae; Streptophyta; Magnoliopsida; Apiales; Apiaceae.
GGAGUAAUUACUCAGAUCAAGGCCUGAAGUACCUUCUUCAAAAUCCACUGUUAGUAGUACCAAAUUAGUCUUCAAUGGAAUCUUCUUCGAAUCACAAUCAUCUUUGUCGAACAUAGAAAACUGCUUCUAAUAAUCCUUUGAGAAAUCAAUUGGAUUGGGUCAUCAAUGUACUUCCAUUACCGGUUCUGAGAAUCUGGUAUU